This 72-nucleotide transfer RNA is filed under the name Gemmata obscuriglobus. RNAcentral describes it as "tRNA-Arg". The record is from RNAcentral. Lineage: Bacteria; Pseudomonadati; Planctomycetota; Planctomycetia; Gemmatales; Gemmataceae.
GCACCGUCCGACGGUUUAUCGGCACCGGGCCUCCGAAGUCUGGUCGGCUGGUUCGACUCCAGCACGGUGUAC